This 305-nucleotide ribosomal RNA is filed under the name uncultured bacterium. RNAcentral describes it as "partial 16S ribosomal RNA". It matches the Rfam family "Bacterial small subunit ribosomal RNA", at positions 333 to 638 of the family's 1533-position model. The record is from RNAcentral.
UCGCGCCUACGGGGGGCAGCAGUGGGGAAUAUUGCACAAUGGGGGAAACCCUGAUGCAGCGACGCCGCGUGAGUGAAGAAGUAUUUCGGUACGUAAAGCUCUAUCAGCAGGGAAGAAAAAAAGUCCUUUGGACUUUGGACGGUACCUGACCAAGAAGCCCCGGCUAACUACGUGCCAGCAGCCGCGGUAAUACGUAGGGGGCAAGCGUUAUCCGGAUUUACUGGGUGUAAAGGGAGCGUAGACGGCGAUGCAAGCCAGGAGUGAAAGCCCGGGGCCCAACCCCGGGACUGCUCUUGGGACUGCGU